GUGGCCGGCACGACCUUCACCUUUGCAGAAGGCAGCCAGGACCCUCAGUGAAACACCUUCCAUUUCCACCGUAGUCUCUACUAUGGUCUGGAUUUUACACACGCGCACAUUGGUAAAUUAUUAAAAGUAGUAAAGUUAAUGGGCGGUUAUCACCCAAAGACGUUAUCUCUUUUGGAAUCUCCUCUGCAUUUAAAGGAUUUGACAAGCCGACAUUUUUAACUGUUAGGCGUGUGGAGCAAAGGAUAAUAGAAUCGAAAAGUCAGAUACUGCAGCCAAUUUGAGAUCAGAAGAGAAUGAGUCACCUUGGUCUUCCUGUUGCAGUGCCUACUCUCUGCUGCUCACUGUGCUGUGGUUUGGCAUUUGAAGGAGAAUAUGGCUUUAAGACCACCAGGCAACACGAGACAUGGAAAUACUGAGUGCUGCCAACCGUUGCACAAGUGGACAGGCCCUGAGAAGCCUGUUGAGUUGCUAUGGAAAGCCCCUCCCUGCUCCUGCUCUGGGAUGCCCAGAGAUGUACUGGGGGUUCUGGGUCUUCUCUGUUUUCUAGCUAUUGUUAAGGAUUGAUGCCGUAGAGGGGAGGGAGGUUUUAAUUCCCUAAGGACAGACCAAACAUGUCUUUCAAGUUCAGCGGAGACUCCAGAGUGAACUGUUGAAGGCCUGCUGCUCAUUCUUCUUUCUUCUCCUAAUUAAUGGCAAUUGGGCUAAAAAUAUAUUUGGGGACAGUCUCUGAAGCUGUAGCUGCGACAAGUUGUUGAUAUAGUUACAGAACUGCGUCUGAGACAAGCACAGAGGCCUGGGCAAGUCGAGAGGCUGAGGGGGACUUGUUAGUGAAUUCUUGGGGAGUUUUCUCCUCAUUACUUCUGUGUAUUUCACACUUUCUCAGUUGAUUGGGAUGUGCUGUUAAGUUUCCCACUAGUAGACUCUGGCCAUUUAUGGUUAUCACAUUUAAAGUUUCAGCCACUUGAACUGAAAGUCCAUUCUAUAAGGUAAAAUGCAUAACUUUGCCAAGGCAUGAAUUGGAAUCACAACAUUGCUGAGUAGUUGUGCCUGAGUAUCUGUUACCUAGUGACCAGACCAGCUGGUGCCUAGCCUCUACAUCUUACGGUAGCCCUUUUCAUUCUUUCUUCUUUAUUCUGUGUGAGAAGUUUGGGAGACAUAUCCUUGGUGAAUGCCAUGAUCCUUAAUUGCCUCAUGACUAGGAGCCCAGCCCAGCCUUCCUAAACAUGCAUCAUCAUAAAGAAGACCCAAGGAGCGGUCAGAACAGCACACAAACUUGUUCAGCCACAUUUACUCCUCUUUUAUUAUGAGCCAGGCCCUAUGCUGGGUGUCAUAAGAAACACACAGAUUAGUACAACCUGGUUCUUGCCCUCAAAGAAAAUGCAACCAAGGAGGGUGGGAGGGAAAAACAAGGAUAAAAGAGACCAUACUAUAGGCCAAUGCCAGAUAACAACUCUGGGGAUGUUUUUCAGGACUAAUAACCAAUUCUCUGGGUACCAGCUAAGAGUUCAACAACUCACUUCUGUCCUAUGGAGUUAGAAUGCACCAUCCUCCUGGCACAUGGAUGCGUUUACCAAUCCAGAAGUUCUCUGAACCUUGCAGGUUCCACUAUCUCGGCAUGACUGAUCAAAUCACCGGUCAAUGGUGAUUAACUCAAUCUCCAACCCUUUUUCUUUUCUUGAGGUUGGGGAGUAGGGCUGAAAGCUUUAAGCUUCCAAUCAAGGCUUGGUCUUUCUGGCAACCAACCCACAUCCCAAAGGUAUCUAGGGUGCCCAGCUACUAGUCAUCUCAUUAGCACAUAGAAGACACUCAUCACUCUGGAGACUCCAAAGGUUGUAGGAGCUGUGUACCAAGAACCAGGAGUAAAGAACAAAUAACUUGUUUUUUUUUUAUUAUACUCCAACUACCAUAAGGAACUUACAACGAAAGUGUUACAUGGUUUCAAAGGGAAGAAAGAUCGCAUCCAUUUUUAAAGUCCUCAUAUUGCAAUAUCUUGUGAUGGUAAAUAAUUUGGACUCUGCCAACCCUGGGUUUGACUCGCGGGGCAAAUCUCACAGUCACUCUUCUGCCUCUUUAUUGGUAUCCUCAGUCCAUGAAAUGGAGCAAAGUCAAUUUCCCUGGAAAGAGUGUAAAGCACCUCAGAACUCUUACAGGUCUGGGGCUUCUUACUGUAGAGUGUUAAUUUAUUUGCCUGUCUGUUCAGUCCACUACAGAGCUUAGCUACAUUGCCAUUUUUUGUUAUUGUUUCUAGAAACCACAAUAGAUGAGGAGAUUACGGCUUGAAACCCAAAGUCCCAUUAUCUGUCAGCCUGUGAGAGAUAAAAAAAUGCCACCAGUGUAUCCAGAAAGUCAUUUCUCAGUAGCCAUAGGUGACAAGAAUUACAUUUCUUUACCAGGACAUCUUGAUGUGGCACAUCAUAAAUAUUCAGAUUCUGUAGACCUUUAAAAAAGAUACAAUAUCUCCUUUCUUGUAUAACACUCACUUCAAGGUCAGAUUCAGGAUGGCUCAAAGCCAGGAAGUAGGAAUUUUUAUACUUGAGAGAAAAGGGGCAGUUGGGGAGUGGGCUGAGGAAGCAGAAACUGAAAAGUGAAGCCAGGCUUGACUUCAGCAAUCAAUGGGUGAGGUGUGGCGUCCUUUGACCCAGGCUGGUGGGGCCUCUCCUCUGGGCCCAUGCUUUCCAGAGCCUGGCUCUGGCUCUCCUCCGGCUGUGUCUUCCUCCUGGGAUGAGAAGUUCAGGAGACCAGGAGUGUGCCCACCUGGAGCCCAUGCCCCCACUACUUCUAGACCAAGCUUGUCCAACCUGUGGGCCAUAGACUGCAGGCUGCAUGCGGCCCAGGAUGGCUUUGAGUGGGUUUACAAAUUUGCUCCAAUGCAAAUCUGUAAACUUUCUAAAAACAUGAGAUUUAUUUGGUGUUUUUUUUUUUUUUUUUCUCAUCAGCUAUCAUUAGUGUUAGUAUAUUUUACAUGUAGCUCAAGACAAUUCUUUUUCUUCCAAUGUGGCCCAGGAGAACCAAAAGAUUGGACACCCCUGUUCUAGACCAUGCUUCAGUGUCAAGGACAUUGGGAUUCCCUGCCCAAACACUAAGAGUUGCCCUUUUGAGGGCUAAUAGUGCCAUCUGUGUGCCUAGAGGGUGGGGCUGAUGGGUGGCUGUUUGGCAGGGACCAUAGUUGCAGGGAGACAGAGAUGCACACAUGCAUAUGGAAGAGGUCUUUAGGAUCUGAGCAAAACUAGAAGAGGCAUGAGAGAAAGGGGUGGGUUGUGGGCCAGGGGCCUCUUUUUAUUAUUGCCCCAGGCCUAUAAAUGUUAGGGGUAGCCUUGAAUGGGAGUCCAGGCUUAGAAAUUUUCAAGCAAAAACACUGGAUUUGCAAAUAGUUCCUAGUAAGAUAGAGCUGGAGUGCCCUUUUGCUAAAUUCAGCCCCAAUUGCUUUUACCUCUAUCUGCCAGGUCACUAAUAGUUCACAGCAAAUAGUUCACAGUGAUAGCACUUGUCCUCCUAGUUCAUAACUAUAGUCCUCGAGAUGCUGGAUAACA
This is a long non-coding RNA of Sapajus apella (tufted capuchin), 3530 nucleotides long. RefSeq lists it as uncharacterized. The transcript has 2 exons. NCBI's taxonomy places the organism in Eukaryota, Metazoa, Chordata, Mammalia, Primates, Cebidae. The record is from RefSeq and is a predicted model, not a curated record.